This 30-nucleotide non-coding RNA is filed under the name Rattus norvegicus (Norway rat). The record is from RNAcentral. Lineage: Eukaryota; Metazoa; Chordata; Mammalia; Rodentia; Muridae.
UGAGAGACCUUUCUCUGCUGGGGAGCUUAA